This 520-nucleotide ribosomal RNA is filed under the name uncultured Entrophospora. RNAcentral describes it as "SSU rRNA". It matches the Rfam family "Eukaryotic small subunit ribosomal RNA", at positions 569 to 1085 of the family's 1831-position model. Lineage: Eukaryota; Fungi; Glomeromycota; Glomeromycetes; Entrophosporales; Entrophosporaceae. The record is from RNAcentral.
AGCAGCCGCGGUAAUUCCAGCUCCAAUAGCGUAUAUUAAAGUUGUUGCAGUUAAAAAGCUCGUAGUUGAAUUUCGGGAUUAACGUGACGGUCGUGCCUUAAGGGGUAUGAACUGUUACAGUUAAUUUCUCACCUUCUGGAGAAAUAUGAUGUCCUUAAUUGGGUGUCAUAUGGAACCAGGACUUUUACCUUGAAAAAAUUAGAGUGUUUAAAGCAAGCUUAUUGCUCGAAUACAUUAGCAUGGAAUAAUAAAAUAGGACGGCUUGAUUCUAUUUUGUUGGUUUCUAGGAUCACCGUAAUGAUUAAUAGGGAUAGUUGGGGGCAUUAGUAUUCAAUUGUCAGAGGUGAAAUUCUUGGAUUUAUUGAAGACUAACUACUGCGAAAGCAUUUGCCAAGGAUGUUUUCAUUAAUCAAGAACGAAAGUUAGGGGAUCGAAGACGAUCAGAUACCGUCGUAGUCUUAACCAUAAACUAUGCCGACUAGGAAUCAGACGAUGUUAAUUUUUAAUGACUCGUUUUGGC